AUGGUCUUAAAGAAGGAAAAAGACUGAAUCCAUCAGCCUGAACUGUACAGAAGCAAGAGAUCAGAGACUGCAGCAAAAACAACGACUCAUCGUUUCUCCUAAUGAAUACGACAGCCUGUGAAAAUCAUACUGAUUCUACCAGAUGUUACACAGCUGUCCCUGCCAAUGGAGACAUCAGCCCCAUGGGCUCUGGAUAACGCGUCCUGAUAUGAAGAGUUCAACCCAUAAUUACAGGUUGUUCAACAUCACAUUUGAAGAGGAUAAAAGAGGGUCUCAGGUAUGAAGAACUGGACGGCACCAGGUCCUGACAUGAUCCAUGUCUACUGGUUGAAGAAGCUGAUCUCACUCCAUGAGGUGCAAGCUACUGGAGGAUGGAAACCACCCUGAAUGGUUACCAGAAGACCUGAAGGACUCCAAGAAGGGAGCAGUCCCAUCCAAGUACCGCCCAAUAAGCAGCAUCUGCACAACAUGGAAGCUUCUGUCAGGACUCCCAGCAGCUAAGAUGAGCAGGCACAUGGAUCAAUACAUGAGCAGUGCCAACACAGGAACUGGUAGUAACACCAGGCACAUUGAGGACCUUGCCUAAGGGCCCAUACGGGAUUUUCGCCCUGACCGUGGUAUAUACAUAGACAUACAUUUACAUAUAUAGAUAUACGUAUAUAUGAGAGUGGGUCAUCCACAUCUCGGGUCCAGGUUUCCAGAUAUCUGUUCUCUUUCUGUUAUCUUUUCUCAUCAUGUGGAAGCAGCUUCUCUGACUCCUCACUUAAAUUUUCCAAAACACAGAAGCGGUUAUGAGACAUGAAUGAUGGUGGAGCUGAGAAGAUUUGUCUGUGUGAGGACCUGACUGCAGUUUUAGGAGGUAGAGACUGGCUUCUUGUACGAUGAACCUUGUUAUCUGAAGAGGAGGAUGAAGAUGAAGCAGAUUCAUCGAUUCUAUCAUACAUCAAAGGAGCAGGGGAGCUUUUGCUGUGGCUGCUUGAUUUGACCCGAGGCUCCACUGGUGUCUUUUGCCUCAGGACCCCAGCUUUUGAGUCUUUCCUUGCUCUGGCUUCUUGUGCUGAGUGCUUGCUGUGGGCUGAGGCUGGUGGCUCUGCACUGCUGACCUGAGGGCGCUGGUCCAGGGGGAGGCUAGCAGGCUUUGACAUGUUUGGAGAGGAUGUGGAGGGACCAGCGCUGAUCGUAGGCUGAUCCUGCUGCAGGACAGGACUGCGUCUAGAUCCGAGUUCAUCCACUUGUGCUGUCAGUCGGCGAAUUGUCUCCUCUUUCUCAAUGAGUUGGUUCUGCAGCUCCUGGACUUGUGUCUGAA
Molecule: long non-coding RNA, 1306 nt
Organism: Betta splendens (Siamese fighting fish)
Lineage: Eukaryota; Metazoa; Chordata; Actinopteri; Anabantiformes; Osphronemidae
Exons: 3
Source: RefSeq, a predicted model, not a curated record